Long non-coding RNA from Andrographis paniculata, 423 nucleotides. RefSeq lists it as uncharacterized. The transcript is spliced from 3 exons. Lineage: Eukaryota; Viridiplantae; Streptophyta; Magnoliopsida; Lamiales; Acanthaceae. The record is from RefSeq and is a predicted model, not a curated record.
UGCGACGAUAGAACCAGGGGUUGUUUUCAUGAAUGCAACCGGUGGGAUCUUGUUGCUCGCCACAAUCUGCCAUUAUGGGCAAGAAUGGGAACACUCAAUAUAUGAGGGUCAGUUAGAACUUGUUUCAUUGGUCGGUACAAUUGCUCCAUUUAAGGAUGGGGUUCUAAGUGGCAAAAAGGUAGGAUGAAUAUCACGUUACUUUGUCCUGAUGGGGAGCACUCAGUGGUAGAGUAGAAGGUCCAACGAUUGCUGCAUGCAGGCGUUGUACAUAUCAAUCUUUCUUGCUCGUCCCAUGAUGAACUAUGAUGGAGGGAAAAUUUAGCACUUUGAUAACUUCUUGUAAAUUGAGAGUAUUGUAGUUGUGUUGCUGUAAACUUAAUGUUCUGUUGAUAUUUAUUAUGGAGGAUGUUGUUAUUUGUUGUA